RNAcentral lists this ribosomal RNA (467 nucleotides) under uncultured bacterium. RNAcentral's name for it is "partial 16S ribosomal RNA". It matches the Rfam family "Bacterial small subunit ribosomal RNA", at positions 28 to 506 of the family's 1533-position model. The record is from RNAcentral.
GACGAACGCUGGCGGCGUGCUUAACACAUGCAAGUCGAACGGAAAGGCCCUGCUUUUGUGGGGUGCUCGAGUGGCGAACGGGUGAGUAACACGUGAGUAACCUGCCCUUGACUUUGGGAUAACUUCAGGAAACUGGGGCUAAUACCGGAUAGGAGCUCCUGCUGCAUGGUGGGGGUUGGAAAGUUUCGGCGGUUGGGGAUGGACUCGCGGCUUAUCAGCUUGUUGGUGGGGUAGUGGCUUACCAAGGCUUUGACGGGUAGCCGGCCUGGGAGGGUGACCGGCCACAUUAGGACUGAGAUACGGCCCAGACUCCUACGGGAGGCAGCAGUGGGGAAUAUUGCACAAUGGGCGGAAGCCUGAUGCAGCAACGCCGCGUGCGGGAUGACGGCCUUCGGGUUGUAAACCGCUUUCGCCUGUGACGAAGCGUGAGUGAGGGUAAUGGGGAAAGAAGCACCGGCUAACUACGU